GGUUUCCUGGUGUAAUGGUUAUCACUGCGGAUCCUGAUUCCGCCGAUCUGGGUUCGAUUCCCGGGGAGACUU
This is a non-coding RNA of Hypoxylon sp. FL1150, 72 nucleotides long. NCBI's taxonomy places the organism in Eukaryota, Fungi, Ascomycota, Sordariomycetes, Xylariales, Hypoxylaceae. The record is from the annotation of a GenBank genome assembly.